This is a long non-coding RNA of Osmia bicornis bicornis, 396 nucleotides long. RefSeq lists it as uncharacterized. NCBI's taxonomy places the organism in Eukaryota, Metazoa, Arthropoda, Insecta, Hymenoptera, Megachilidae. The transcript is spliced from 4 exons. The record is from RefSeq and is a predicted model, not a curated record.
UCAUUGUCAUAAAGUUCGUGUAUAGUACUCGAUAGCGGAGAGGAAUGAAGAAAAAAUUCACGGAUUGAGUGGGAGGCCAAAAACAGCAAUCAACCUUGGAAAAAAAAAAUGGAUACUUGCUGUUCAUAUCUCCUUGAUCUGGCGAUGCUCUAACACGCCAAGACCUACGAAGAAUAUACCUAAGCAAGUGGGACUGGCGAUCGUUUGAUCGAGACACAUCUUUUUAACAACGGACAUCGCAGUCCUGCCAGGGCCUGGAGUUACAAAAUCAUCUGGCACCUUCGGUGUGGGCAACAUCAGUGCGAUACAACAACAAUAGCUUCCUUAAAGCCAGUGUGUUCCAACAAUUGAAGUGGAUACCAAACCAUUGGUACAUUUCCAAUUGGUAAUAAACAU